Molecule: small RNA, 667 nt
Filed under: Pongo abelii (Sumatran orangutan)
Lineage: Eukaryota; Metazoa; Chordata; Mammalia; Primates; Hominidae
Description: retained intron
Source: RNAcentral
CUUUUGAUGAGUCCUUUUCCCUGCACAGAGCUUCUGGUGAAGGUGGUGGGAGUUGUUCUUGCAGAGCACAUGGGAUUCCAACGGCCUGGCAGUGGGCCAGGAUCUUGUUGCCAUGGUUACUGACACUGUUUUUGCUGAAAUUUUGCCAGAUCCUGAAGAUCUUCGUGGACAAUCUCUUUGCUAUUGUCCUGCUGAAGCAGGCCACAGCUGUGCGCUGCUUGGACAUGAGUGCCUCCCGUAAGAAGCUGGCCGUGGUAGAUGAAAAUGACACUUGCCUGGUGUAUGACAUCGACACCAAGGAGCUGCUUUUUCAGGAACCAAACGCCAACAGUGUGGCCUGGAACACCCAGUGUGAGGACAUGCUCUGCUUCUCGGGAGGAGGCUACCUCAACAUCAAAGCCAGCACCUUCCCUGUGCACCGGCAGAAGCUGCAGGGCUUUGUGGUCGGCUACAAUGGCUCCAAGAUCUUCUGCCUCCACGUCUUCUCCAUUUCUGCCGUGGAGGUGCCACAGGUAACUGGGGGCGCCUGUCCAUUCUUAGCACUGGCAAGGCUGACAAGACCAGGGAAGCCGGGCCCUUUGCUGGUGCUUUGGGGAGAGAAUAGCAAGGAGAGAAGAAUGGCAGCUGUGAUGUUGUGGGAGGCAGUCUGGGCCUGGAACCUGCAGCC